RNAcentral lists this transfer RNA (73 nucleotides) under Bos taurus (domestic cattle). It matches the Rfam family "tRNA". Rfam says of the family: Transfer RNA (tRNA) molecules are approximately 80 nucleotides in length. Their secondary structure includes four short double-helical elements and three loops (D, anti-codon, and T loops). The record is from Rfam by way of RNAcentral. Lineage: Eukaryota; Metazoa; Chordata; Mammalia; Artiodactyla; Bovidae. RNAcentral also lists the same sequence under 5 other names.
UCCCCAGUGGGCCAGCGGUCAGGAGUUGGCAUUGUCACUGCUGAGGGCCCAGGUUCAAUACCUGGUUGGGGAA